UCAGGAUGAACGCUGGCGGCGUGCCUAACACAUGCAAGUCGAACGAAGCACUGGAAACGGAGAUUCGUCGAAGUUCUUUGACUAGUGGCGGACGGGUGAGUAAUGUGUGAGCAACCUGCCUUUCAGAGGGGGACAACAGUUGGAAACGACUGCUAAUACCGCGUAAUGUAUGAUGGGGGCAUCCCUGUGAUACCAAAGGAGCAAUCCGCUGAAAGAUGGGCUCACAUCUGAUUAGCUAGUUGGUGGGGUAACGGCUCACCCAAGGCUGCGAUCAGUAGCCGGACUGAGAGGUUGAACGGCCACAUUGGGACUGAGAUACGGCCCAGACUCCUACGGGAGGCAGCAGUGGGGAAUAUUGGGCAAUGGGCGAAAGCCCUGACCCAGCAACGCCGCGUGAAGGAAGAAGGUCUUCGGAUUGUAAACUUCUUUUAUGAGGGACGAAGGACGUGGCGGUACCUCAUGAAUAAGCCACGGCUAACUACGUGCCAGCCGCAGC
RNAcentral lists this ribosomal RNA (496 nucleotides) under uncultured bacterium. Its description in RNAcentral is "bacterial SSU rRNA". It matches the Rfam family "Bacterial small subunit ribosomal RNA", at positions 24 to 518 of the family's 1533-position model. The record is from RNAcentral.